Mesoplodon densirostris (Blainville's beaked whale) is the source of this 2963-nucleotide long non-coding RNA. RefSeq lists it as uncharacterized. The record is from RefSeq and is a predicted model, not a curated record. Lineage: Eukaryota; Metazoa; Chordata; Mammalia; Artiodactyla; Ziphiidae. The transcript has 3 exons.
AAUUACUGAAGGAAGUGCUCGAAACAGAGAGAACAUGAUAACAGAAGACUUCAGGACCUCGGGAGGAAAUAAAGAAAACUUGCUCAGGGAACCACUGGACUUUGUAUCUGUGGAAGAAGGGGGAAGAGACCACUGACUGCAUUUCUGUCCCUGGGCUGAAAAGGAUGCUAUGUCAGAGAACCAUUCCAGCAAACUUCAAAGGGUUGAAUUCACACAGAGAGGGAACUGGAGACUGCUGACUGUGGUGUAUAAAGUCAUCGACUGAAGAGGACCAAGGAGCUUAUCUGAAGGAGGUGCAUCCUUCAUCCUUUCCCCACUCAAGGGACUGAAACCAGGCUCUCCCACAGUGCCUGGCCCAUGGCUGGCCCUGGGCAUCUCACAUUCGUCGUUUGCAGCGAUAACAGAGGAGUGACGGUCUUGUGUGCAGGCCUGAAUGCCAGGGCAUCUCACAGAAGUUUCACUGCUGUGAUGGCAAAUUUUGUGUGUCAACUUGGUGAGGCCACGGUACCCCCUUGUCUGGUCAAAAACCAUCUAGACAUCGCUGUGGAGGUAUUUUUUAGGUACGAUUAAUGUUUAAAUCAGUAGACUUUGAAUAAGGCGGAGCUGAUGACCCUCCAUAACAUGGGUGGGCCUCAUCCAAUCAGUUGAGGGCCUUAAGAGAAAGGACUGAGGUUCCCUGAAGAGGAAGGAAUUCUGCCUUCAGACUGCAACAUAGAAAUUCUGCCUGAGGUUUUAGCCUUUGGACUCAAGACUACAACAUUGACUCCUGCUGGAAUUUCCAGGCUGCCAAGAUGCCCUGUAGAUUCUGGACUAUCUGUCUAUCUAUCACCUAUCUAUCUAUCUAUCUAUCUAUCUAUCUAUCUAUCUAUCUAUCAUCUAGCUAGCUGGCUAUCUAUUUAUCUAUCUAUCUACCAUCUAGCUAACUGGCUAGCUAUCUAUCUACCUACAUAUAUAUAUACAUACAUACAUCUUAUUGGUUCUGUCUCUUUGGAGAACCCUGAUUAACACCAUUGCCAUAACCUGGAGCAACCACCCCAAAAUGUAGUGCCUUAAAGCAGCAUUUUAUUAUCUUUCAUGAUUCUGUGGGUUGACUGGACUCAACUGGACCAGUUUUCUGUUCCACAAGGCCUUGGCAGAAGAGGCUAGUUAUCUGGGGCUCCGCUGAGCUGGAGUCUCCAAGACUCCCUCCUCAUAUAGCUGACAGCUGGUGCUGCCUGCUGACUGGCACCCCAGCUGAGCUAUCCUCAGGGUGCUUGGUUCCCAUCCACGUGCCAUGUGACCCAAGCUUCUGGUAUCAUGGAAGCUGAGGUCCAAAAGCAAGUAAGCAGAAGCCACCAGCCCACUUAAGGUCUGGACUCGGACGUCCCAGAACACACUUCUGUAGGAGUCCUUUGGUCAAGGCAGUCACAGGACCCGCCCAGGCUGGGGAGGGGAAUAGAUCCUACAUCUCAAUUGAUGCGUAAAGGAAGGAAUGAAUUGAUGGUGGCCAUGUUUGGAAACUAUCAACCACACCAAGUAUAUUUCCCCUAUUUUACCCUGAAAAAACCAACAAUACAUAAGCAUAUUAUGUUAUUUAUAUCUAUUUGGGAACACUUAAAGAUGUUUCUUUAGCUGCCAUUUUUCUCUGCCCACUUCCAAAGAGGAUGUGUAGUCGCUUUUAGUGAAUGUAAUACAGUAAUUGCACAGUUGGCAUCAAAAUAAAGAUUAGAAAAAGCCAUGUAGAGAUAAGAGAAAAGCACGCUAGAGAAAAGCUUGACUAAAAUUGUUACUGCAAUGGGGCCUCCAUUCACUGAGUUCCUGCAUGCCCGGAAAGGGGAAGCUAGCCUUUACCAAAAUAUUCCAUUUGAUUGAAGGGACCAGGGCCUGCCAAUGGGAGAACCUCAAGAGGUAGGAACUUAUAAAUGACUUAUAAAUAACAACAGCGUAGAAACAAUCCCUCAACCACAGAUGCAGAGCAUUCUUCUCCCAGAAAAGGGAUCACAUUACAGAGCUAGAGUCCUGCUGAGGGGAGUUAAAACAGUAGGAACCAAACCAAUGUCUGGGCCCCUUGCCGCCGACCCCUCAGAGCCCAGUCUCGGAGCAUAGGCUGGUUCCCAGACUUUUUGAAAAUUCUUCUGAAGACCGGUGAGCACCCAGGCCUGUGUUUGUGCUGAAUUCCCUGCUGUCCAGCUCCUGGUAGUAAUUGGAUGAGAUGCUUGAUAACUGAGCAAGGUUGAUAUCACAUCAGGCAGUGACUCCAGGCUCUUCUGGAACCUCCGGAGCUCUGGAUUACUGGACAGUGCAUGUGGCACUCCAUCCAGACAUGAAGGUUGGUGGGAGGGCCACAGCGGAAAUUCCGAAGAAGGCAAUUAAAAUGUGUUAACCAAAACAGGAAACAUUGGUGAGGUAGAUGAGAGCGUUUUACUUCAGAGGUGUGAUUUUAUCAAUACUUCUAUUGUUCAAAAACUCAUAUUUUAUUUUUAGAGGUAUUUUCCCAAACAAGCCCAAACUUUACUUCUCACUCAUUCUAAAUUCUUGUGUCUUUUUCAUGCUUGCAUUUGGGGCAAGAUUGGGACAAAACACAGAACACUUUGUUCAUGUUGGAGUGUCACGUUCUUUUUUAAAAGCACAAAAGGAUUUUUUACUGGUCAAGAGAUGCUGUUUCCUGAAGGAGAGAGGGCAUCAGGCCAAAGCACUGGUUUAAUCAAAAAGAUUUAGGAAGGAGUGAACAUCUUUUUUCUGUGGUGACCAAAAUGAUCUCUGACCACUAGCAAACUCAUAGCAUCGGUACGCAGUGUGACAGAUUUUCAAAGCCACCAACUUCUCCAGAUCCAAGAUGGUUCUGUGCCCAUACUCAGUGGAUCCAUGGCAAAUUCACUGAAUGUGAGAAUUAGAACCUUCCAAAGAACAAGUAUGUUAGCCAAUGAUCAUCAUUAUCAUCUUUUUCUAUUUUUCGGUCCUAAGAAAUUUGGGACAAAAUUAAA